Molecule: long non-coding RNA, 430 nt
Organism: Talpa occidentalis (Iberian mole)
Lineage: Eukaryota; Metazoa; Chordata; Mammalia; Eulipotyphla; Talpidae
Exons: 3
Source: RefSeq, a predicted model, not a curated record
ACCAAAGGGAAGGUUGCUGGGGCCUGAGGGUGGAGUUAAGCAGCCAGGUUUGAGAUAAAACCAGACAUGUUGGUCUUGGGGGAGCUUUUUGGCUUCAGGGCUCUUGGCUUGCGGCCAGCUCUCAUAGUACUAUUGGGUUUCCAGGUUGGCGGAUCAGAAAUUUAACUCAAGAGCUGAAGAAGGAAGGAAGCAGGAUGGAGCCGGAAGGAGAACUUGAGCAGGCACAUGGAGCCAAGAGACACAUGAAGAAACUGCGCUUGCUUCUUGGUUGUGGACUGGACACAGAUGUGGGCUGCUGCUUCUCCCAGCCCAAAUCCACUCCUCCCUAAGGUGGGGAAGGAAAUUUGGAGCCUUCCCUGUCUGUGGAUGUCACACUGUCACAGCAUCAUGUCUCCCUCUCACAGGCUCUGUGGGGUGGUGCAGCCUUGAU